UUGGAGGGCAAGUCUGGUGCCAGCAGCCGCGGUAAUUCCAGCUCCAAUAGCGUAUAUUAAAGUUGUUGCAGUUAAAAAGCUCGUAGUUGAACUUCGGGGUUCACCCAUUGGUCAGGCUUAAUUGUCUGUACUGGUGAGAUGAGUCUCUACCUUCUGAGGAACUUUCAUGCCAUUUGUUUGGUGUGAUUGGAAAUCAGGACUGUCACUUUGAAAAAAUUAGAGUGUUUAAAGCAGGCUAACGUCUGAAUACAUUAGCAUGGAAUAAUGAAAUAGGACGGAUUGAUUCUAUUUCGUUGGUUUCUAGGGUCACCGUAAUGAUUAAUAGGGAUAGUUGGGGGCAUUAGUAUUCAAUUGUCAGAGGUGAAAUUCUUGGAUUUAUUGAAGACUAACUACCGCGAAAGCAUUUGCCAAGGAUGUUUUCAUUAAUCAAGAACGAAAGUUAGGGGAUCGAAGACGAUCAGAUACCGUCGUAGUCUUAACCAUAAACUAUGCCGACUAGGGAUCGGACGCAGUUAAUUUUAUAAUGACGUGUUCGGCACCUUACGGGAAAC
RNAcentral lists this ribosomal RNA (551 nucleotides) under uncultured Diversisporaceae. RNAcentral's name for it is "SSU rRNA". It matches the Rfam family "Eukaryotic small subunit ribosomal RNA", at positions 548 to 1098 of the family's 1831-position model. Lineage: Eukaryota; Fungi; Glomeromycota; Glomeromycetes; Diversisporales. The record is from RNAcentral.